Molecule: ribosomal RNA, 497 nt
Filed under: uncultured bacterium
Lineage: Bacteria
Description: bacterial SSU rRNA
Rfam family: Bacterial small subunit ribosomal RNA
Source: RNAcentral
AACGAACGCUGGCGGCGUGCCUAACACAUGCAAGUCGUGCGAGAAAGUUCCUUCGGGAGCGAGUAAAGCGGCGCACGGGUGAGUAACACGUAGGUAACCUGCCCCCCAGUCUGGAACAACUAGAGGAAACUCUAGCUAAUGCCGGAUGAGACCACGAUCCCUUCGGGGGUUGCGGCCAAAGAUGGCCUCUACUUGUAAGCUAUCGCUGAGGGAUGGGCCUGCGGGCCAUUAGCUUGUUGGUGAGGUAACGGCUCACCAAGGCUGUGAUGGCUAGCUGGUCUGAGAGGAUGACCAGCCACACUGGGACUGAGACACGGCCCAGACUCCUACGGGAGGCAGCAGUAGGGAAUAUUGCACAAUGGAGGAAACUCUGAUGCAGCGACGCCGCGUGAGUGACGAAGGCCUUCGGGUUGUAAAGCUCUGUUCUCAGGGAAAAAGAAAGUGAUGGUACCUGAGAAGAAAGGACCGGCUAACUUCGUGCCAGCAGCCGCGGUAAU